GAGUCACAGCAGAGCAGAUGGGCUCUCCCCGUCUAGACAGAAUGGUAGUGUCCCAGACGGAAAGGUCUCCCAGGCCAGACAGUCCUGAAGCACCACCCUGCUGCGGGGCCUCUGAGGCCCAGGAGGAGGAACAUAAGAGAACAACAGCACUGUCCUCGCUGGUGGUGUAAUUAGCAGGUAUAACCAUGGAAUAGGAGCCGAUGCUGGUGAGGACACUGUCAGCGGAGUUGGAAGGCUCAGGAACCACAGUGGGAUUCCACUGAUCCCAAGAGAAUGUUGUGAUGUCCUUUGUCUCUACCACGGGAGGAUUCAGCCUUCCAGCAUCACCCGACUCCAGGCUUGCCUGCUGGCCCUCAGCAGUGCCAAGAUUCAAUGUGUUCAGAGUCUGCCCAAUGCGGGGUUCAGGGUGGAAGUGGGUUCACGUAGUCCCUGCCUGUGAAGCCUGUCGGCUGUGGUCCCGGUGUGGCUUUUGUCUCACUAUGUGCAGACAGAUUCAUUCCAGGCUCUCUGCAGAUGUUCUCUAGCUAACUUCGAUCACACUCCAGGCAGCUGUGGCUCUUGUGUCGCAGGGCACCCUGGAAUCAUCAUACAGGAUCUCUCUCACCACCAGAGAGGAAACAGGCACAGGGAUUCCAGGAGACUUGCUUGGUGAUGAUGUCAGAAUCACUUUCCUGUGGCACUGUCACCAUUUGCUUCCUGAGCACUCCGCAGAGAAGGCAGUGGGUGUCCAAGAGGGGGAGAAGCCUGUUUGAGUCGAAAAAAACCUUCCCAGGACACACUCCGGUUUUUGUUUCUGUUGUUAGGUGGAGUUUCUCUAUGUA
Onychomys torridus (southern grasshopper mouse) is the source of this 821-nucleotide long non-coding RNA. RefSeq lists it as uncharacterized. The transcript is spliced from 3 exons. Lineage: Eukaryota; Metazoa; Chordata; Mammalia; Rodentia; Cricetidae. The record is from RefSeq and is a predicted model, not a curated record.